This 75-nucleotide transfer RNA is filed under the name Lentzea albidocapillata subsp. violacea. RNAcentral describes it as "Lentzea violacea tRNA_Met_CAT". It matches the Rfam family "tRNA". Rfam says of the family: Transfer RNA (tRNA) molecules are approximately 80 nucleotides in length. Their secondary structure includes four short double-helical elements and three loops (D, anti-codon, and T loops). Lineage: Bacteria; Bacillati; Actinomycetota; Actinomycetes; Pseudonocardiales; Pseudonocardiaceae. The record is from RNAcentral.
GGGGCAGUAGCUCAGUUGGUCAGAGCAGCGGACUCAUAAUCCGACUGGUCGUGGGUUCGAGUCCCACCUUCCGAA